AGCAGCCGCGGUAAUUCCAGCUCCAAUAGCGUAUAUUAAAGUUGUUGCAGUUAAAAAGCUCGUAGUUGAAUUUCGGGGUCAGUAGGAUGGUCGUGCCAAUGGUAUGUACUGGCUUUACUGAUUCCUCCUUCUUGAAGAACUGUAAUGCCAUUAAUUUGGUGUUGCAGGGAAUCAGGACUGUUACUUUGAAAAAAUUAGAGUGUUUAAAGCAGGCUUACGCUUGAAUACAUUAGCAUGGAAUAAUGAAAUAGGACGUUGAUCUUAUUUUGUUGGUUUCUAGGAUUGACGUAAUGAUUAAUAGGGAUAGUUGGGGGCAUUAGUAUUCAAUUGUCAGAGGUGAAAUUCUUGGAUUUAUUGAAGACUAACUACUGCGAAAGCAUUUGCCAAGGAUGUUUUCAUUAAUCAAGAACGAAAGUUAGGGGAUCGAAGACGAUCAGAUACCGUCGUAGU
RNAcentral lists this ribosomal RNA (450 nucleotides) under uncultured Glomeromycotina. RNAcentral describes it as "SSU rRNA". It matches the Rfam family "Eukaryotic small subunit ribosomal RNA", at positions 569 to 1024 of the family's 1831-position model. Lineage: Eukaryota; Fungi; Glomeromycota. The record is from RNAcentral.